Long non-coding RNA from Homo sapiens (human), 468 nucleotides. RefSeq annotates it as long independently transcribed non-coding RNA 2512. The transcript is spliced from 3 exons. The record is from RefSeq and is a predicted model, not a curated record. NCBI's taxonomy places the organism in Eukaryota, Metazoa, Chordata, Mammalia, Primates, Hominidae.
AGCAAAUUGCACAAGUAGAGCAGUAGCAAAUAAAUCCAUUGAACAUAAGAUAACAAAAACCAUAUUAUUUGAACUUCAUACUUAUUAACCUAAGUAGAUACAGUAAGUAAAAAUUUUAGCAAGCCAGAGGCUGGUAUGAACUUCUAUCAAUUUUCUAGGUGAGGAUUAAUUUAAAAAAUAUAUAAAGUCUAUUGGUCAUUGCUUUAACUUAAGCUAAAUCUUGCUUAAAACAUCUGCUAGAGAAUUAACAGGACCAUCCUUUCUGGAGCUGCUCAAGAUCGGCUGAAGGAAGCAAAGCUACAUUUCUUGUUUUCUGGUUCCUAUGAACAGAAGCAGAAUUUUUUCACAACAGAAAGUGAAGCAACGAAGUUUUGAGGGUUGCUCCUCAUUUAAUGGAUUUGUGCCUAUAAUUAAUUCAGCAACUUUAACGGCAAAAUGUUUGCCUUAUAAUGAGAUCCCCAGUGACAC